UUGGGUCGUGACAGUUAUAUUCAUAUCUUACGAGUUUAAACAUAAACUCGUAAGAUAAAAGCUUCAAUUUAUAUCGUACAAGUUCAAUUCACAAGAACAAAACCUAAAAACUAAAAGUUCAUCAAUUCUUAUUCUACGAGUUUAAACAUAAACUAAAAGUUCAAUUUAUAUCCUAAAAGUUCAAUUCAUAUCCACAAAAGUUCAAGUCAUAUCCUAAAAUUUCUAUUUAUAUUCUAAAAAUUCAACUCAUAUCCUAAAAGUUUUAAUUCAUAUCCUACAAGUCCAAUUCACAAGAACAAAACCUAAAAACUAAAAGUUAUAUUCAUAUCCUACGAGUUUAAACAUAAACUAAAAGUUCAAGUCAUAUCCUAAAGGUUCAAUACAUAUGCUAAAGGUUCAAUUUAUUUCCUAAAAGUUCACCUCAUAUCCUAAAAGUUUCAAUUCAUAUCCUAAAAAGUUCAAGCCAUACAUAAAAGUUUCAAUUUAUAUCGUACAAGUUCAAUUCACAAGAACAAAACCUAAAAACUAAAAGUUAUAUUCAUAUCUUACGAGUUUAAACAUAAACUAAAACUUCAAGUCAUAUCCUAAAGGUUCAAUACAUAUCCUAAAGGUUCAAUUUAUUUCCUAAAAGCUCAACUCAUAUCCUAAAAGUUUUAACUCAUAUCGUAAAAAGUUCAAGUCAUACAUAAAAUCUUCAAUUUAUAUCGUACAAGUUCAAUUCACAAGAACAAAACCUAAAAACUAAAAGUUCAUCAAUUCUUAUCCUACGAGUUUAAACAUAAACUAAAAGUUCAAUUAAUAUCCUAACGGUUCAAUUCAUAUCCACAAAACUUCAAGUCAUAUCCUAAAAAUUCUAUUUAUAUCCUAAAAAUUCAACUCAUAUCCUAAAAGUUUCAAUUCAUAUCCUAAAAAUUCAAUUCACAAGAACAAAACCUAAAAACUAAAAGUUAUAUUAAUAUCCUACGAGUUUAAACAUAAAUUAAAAGUUCAAGUCAUAUCCUAAAGGUUCAAUACAUAUGCUAAAGGUUCAAUUUAUUUCCUAAAAGUUCAACUCAUAUCCUAAAAGUUUCAAUUCAUAUCCUAAAAAGUUCAAGUCAUACAUAAAAGCU
This 1109-nucleotide long non-coding RNA is filed under the name Nicotiana tabacum (common tobacco). RNAcentral's name for it is "long non-coding RNA (NTAB_LNC007691)". The record is from RNAcentral. Lineage: Eukaryota; Viridiplantae; Streptophyta; Magnoliopsida; Solanales; Solanaceae.